RNAcentral lists this unclassified non-coding RNA (200 nucleotides) under Inocybe sp. Its description in RNAcentral is "partial internal transcribed spacer 2". The record is from RNAcentral. Lineage: Eukaryota; Fungi; Basidiomycota; Agaricomycetes; Agaricales; Inocybaceae.
UUAAGUUCAGCGGGUAGUCCUACCUGAUUUGAGGUCAAAUUCGUCAACAGUUCAAAAGAGAGUUGGAAGCAGUUCAUGUGGCACAAUGCAAGGGCAUAGAUAAUUUAUCACACCUAUAGCAAUAAGCCUCAAGAUCACCGCUGAUAUGUUUCAGGGGAGCCGACCUUUCCUGCGAAAAGCCUGCAAACAAAAAAAUCCCC